UUCCUCCCGAGUGCUUGCACUCAAUUGGAAAGAGGAGUGGCGGACGGGUGAGUAACACGUGGGUAACCUACCCAUCAGAGGGGGAUAACACUUGGAAACAGGUGCUAAUACCGCAUAACAGUUUAUGCCGCAUGGCAUAAGAGUGAAAGGCGCUUUCGGGUGUCGCUGAUGGAUGGACCCGCGGUGCAUUAGCUAGUUGGUGAGGUAACGGCUCACCAAGGCCACGAUGCAUAGCCGACCUGAGAGGGUGAUCGGCCACACUGGGACUGAGACACGGCCCAGACUCCUACGGGAGGCAGCAGUAGGGAAUCUUCGGCAAUGGACGAAAGUCUGACCGAGCAACGCCGCGUGAGUGAAGAAGGUUUUCGGAUCGUAAAACUCUGUUGUUAGAGAAGAACAAGGACGUUAGUAACUGAACAUCCCCUGACGGUAUCUAACCAGAAAGCCACGGCUAACUACGUGCCAGCAGCCGCGGUAAUACGUAGGUGGCAAGCGUUGUCCGGAUUUAUUGGGCGUAAAGCGAGCGCAGGCGGUUUCUUAAGUCUGAUGUGAAAGCCCCCGGCUCAACCGGGGAGGGUCAUUGGAAACUGGGAGACUUGAGUGCAGAAGAGGAGAGUGGAAUUCCAUGUGUAGCGGUGAAAUGCGUAGAUAUAUGGAGGAACACCAGUGGCGAAGGCGGCUCUCUGGUC
Molecule: ribosomal RNA, 689 nt
Filed under: uncultured Enterococcus sp.
Lineage: Bacteria; Bacillati; Bacillota; Bacilli; Lactobacillales; Enterococcaceae
Description: bacterial SSU rRNA
Rfam family: Bacterial small subunit ribosomal RNA
Source: RNAcentral